AGAGUCCAUAUUGUACAGAAGAAUUGGUCUUCCAGGCCACUUCCUGGACUGACCCACACUGCUCUCCAUCAAAUUCUCAGGUCUGAUUAGGGUUGGCAACACCAUCCCUCAUAGUUUCGUAUAUCAGAUUCAGUCUUUUCUAGUUGCAUGUGACCUCCUAUUUAAGGGGGAGGAGUAAAAUUUCUCCUUAGAUGUAUGUGUAGUCAUUCGUGUCCUACUCUCUGUGACCCCGUGGACUGUAGCCCCACCAGUCUCCUCUGUCCAUGGAAUUCUCCAGGCAGGAAUACUGGAGGGGGUCGCCAUGCCCUCCUCCAGGGGAUCUUCCCCACCCAGGGAUCGAACCCGCGUCUCCUGUGUCUCCUGCGUUGCAGGCGGGUUCUUUCCCCACUGAACCAUCGGGGAAGCCCUGCGGCAGAAAAGCAGGUCUCUGUGGAGGGCCGGUCUCUCACAUCUUCGUGGCCGGAAAAUCACGGCAGGAAACCCGCAGGUGACACUGUCUCCGCGGCGGGAGGUCUCCGGCCCGGCGGCGCGGUCCGCGGUGCAGCCGUGCUGGGCGGGCUGCGCGCCGCGCAUCGCCAUGUCCCCGGGCGUCCCUCUUCUGCUCGGGCUCGUGUUUUGCCGGGACCAAGGGAUUUGGGCACAGACCGAAAGCUUCCUGAUCUCCAGCUAUUCCCCAUCGGCGCAGAUGAGUCAAGGAGGAAAUGCUCGGGUUUUGAGCUAAUGCAGAAAGAGAACACAGCUGAGAUCGACGUUCAGAACGCAGACACAGAGAACCGGGGACAUCUGCGCAGGCCCCAGACCUACCUGAAGUCUACCAAAACCCUCUUGAAGAAAGAUCCCUUGCCGUCGUGUCUGGGACUUCUGCCAUCGAGCUCCUCCCGCUCCUCUUCCUCCUCUUCUUUUUCAUCUGCCUGUGCUGCUGUGGAGGCCAACAGGGUUCCACUGAUAAUGAGACCAAGAGCCAACCGGAUUUUAACAGCUCUAACCCUGGCAUGGACUUCUCAGAAGAAAAUCCCGACGAUGUCUCGGUGCACCUCCCACCAGAGGAGGACAGGCAGAGGGACAUGCAGGUCCACCCCGAGGAAUGCCCAUGGGGCUCUUCUGAGUCCUCCGCUGAGCCACACCAGGAUUCCUUCAUGGAGAGUGAGGUUUCACUCCCAUCUUGCAGCCCUGAGGACUCCUCAGUAUAGCCCCGCAUGGACCCGCCUUCACUUCAUCCAGAGAGCGGAGCUGGAGCUGGCUGUGUGCCCUCCAUGGCGCAAGGGCCCCUUAAGGAGUGUGCGGAUUCUUUUACCACUGCUCCACCUGGGAAGCCCCAGUCCUCACUUUGGAGCUCCCCGAAGACUCAAGAAUACAGAAGCCUUGUCAGUCGUCAAGAAAUUCUGGGAUAUGAGAGAUGGAACUUUUCCUGCCAUAUCAGUGAACAAAGGGUAUCACAGUCAUGGGCGAUGACGGCCACCACGGCUGCUGAGCUGGUGAGCCCUGAGGGUGCUCAGGAAGGAAAGAACACAGCCAUCUAGCAGCCAUCAGACUGCGGCCACCACUGAGGGUGAGCUCGGAGGGAACUUGGGACGUGAAAACAGCAGGAUCCUGGCCCCAGACAGCUGAGGCGCGCAUCGAAGUGAUGAUUUCAGCGAGCCCGGACGCUUCCAUCUUCCCAUACGUAGAAAAGCGCUAAAUUCUCUAACUUGGGAUAGUUGGUUUUCUUUAAUUGGCGGUAGCGUUCGAGGUUCAGAUUAUCUGCCUUUUGUUGCGAAGCUUCUUUAUUACCUGGCUCCUCCCCUCGCCUCCUCUGAGCAGUUCUCUCGGGGUUACUUGAGAUGCUGCCUCCCGGGCUUGAGUCCUAAGAAUAUCUGACAAAUAAAACAUAACUCUCAACGUUUAGGUUGC
Molecule: long non-coding RNA, 1890 nt
Organism: Bos indicus x Bos taurus (hybrid cattle)
Lineage: Eukaryota; Metazoa; Chordata; Mammalia; Artiodactyla; Bovidae
Source: Ensembl